Molecule: small nucleolar RNA, 126 nt
Filed under: Pomacea canaliculata
Lineage: Eukaryota; Metazoa; Mollusca; Gastropoda; Architaenioglossa; Ampullariidae
Description: U8 small nucleolar RNA
Rfam family: U8 small nucleolar RNA
About the family: U8 is a member of the C/D class of snoRNA which contain the C (UGAUGA) and D (CUGA) box motifs. U8 is the RNA component of a small complex (the U8 snoRNP) which is required for accumulation of mature large subunit ribosomal RNAs, 5.8S and 28S rRNAs. U8 RNA has been identified in human, mouse, rat and Xenopus.
Source: Rfam by way of RNAcentral
UCAUCUGUAAGGUUAAUUCUGACCUGUUGGCCUAUGGCCUUCAGAGUUGAUGAUGACAACAGGUGUAUGACUCAUGAUUACACCUGGUGGGAAUGGGAUGCAACGACCCGGAACCACCUGUCUGAU